AGUUAGACCCUGUUUUAUCCUCUUCCGUGAUGGAGACUUAUUGUGCCUUCAAAUAAUACCAGACUAUAAUUCAAAUGAAAAUUAUUUCAACAGCAACCCCUCAAUCAAAAUGUGCUGAACCCGUUGUAAUUUGCAUAACAGUAAGUCGCUCAGCGCCUAUGUGCGCACUACUCGUAUCUUCUUGACUGGUCACUUGAGAGCUGCACACUGUGAGGACAGGACGCUGAUAAGUGUGAUGAAGUCGCAGAGCCGGAAUUUUAAUUCAGCUUCGAAAAUUGUAAGAAAUUUGUCAUAACUGCAAACGCCUUUGUCGAGAUCCUGCAGAGAUCCUGCAAAGCUUCCCUGGUCUCCGAGACACAUUUUAAAAUCUGCCGCAGGUCCAGAUCCAUUGACACCUCAGAUGCUAUAUGUUGAAAAUUGUACAUGAUCUCUCUCUCUCUCU
Lingula anatina is the source of this 442-nucleotide long non-coding RNA. The record is from RefSeq and is a predicted model, not a curated record. Lineage: Eukaryota; Metazoa; Brachiopoda; Lingulata; Lingulida; Lingulidae.